Molecule: unclassified non-coding RNA, 379 nt
Filed under: uncultured Gammaproteobacteria bacterium
Lineage: Bacteria; Pseudomonadati; Pseudomonadota; Gammaproteobacteria
Description: contains 16S-23S intergenic spacer region
Source: RNAcentral
UCCGGUUCAUCACCAGCAGUCUCCUUAGAGUCCCCACCAUUACGUGCUGGUAACUAAGGAUAAGGGUUGCGCUCGUUACGGGACUUAACCCAACAUCUCACAACACGAGCUGACGACAGCCAUGCAGCACCUGUCUCUGCGUUCCUUUCGGCACUCCCAAAUCUCUUUAGGAUUCGCAGGAUGUCAAGGGUAGGUAAGGUUCUUCGCGUUGCAUCGAAUUAAACCACAUGCUCCACCGCUUGUGCGGGCCCCCGUCAAUUUCUUUGAGUUUUAAUCUUGCGACCGUACUCCCCAGGCGGAAAACUUAUCGCGUUAGCUUCGAUACUGAUAGGUCUAAGCCUAACAACAUCUAGUUUUCAUCGUUUACAGCGUGGACUAC